ACCUGUAGGUACCUAAGUAUUAUUUAUUCCGUAAUUUCAAAGCAGUCCAUUUCUAAUUUAUAUCGUGCCAAGCGGUCGCUUAUUUAAGUGCAGAACAUUUGAAAUACCUCGUUGAAUUUAGCGUUCUAUGUUUGGACUGUGAACACCAAUGAAAUGGCAUAAAAGUAAUAGACGCGGGGAUUUACUUGUGUAGUGUACCGUGUCUUGUGACAGCGUAGGAGAUUAAUUUUAAUCUUCAUCAGUCGUCAUGGAUGAGUGUUAGAGUAAAACAUGGCAACAGCCUCGCAUAGAUAUAAAAAUAUAUAGGCUGAUGAUUGCAGCUGUCCACAGCUGUUAUUAGUGUCCAGUGAAAUAUGAAGUUUAUCGUAUCUCGGAUCAUAGCAAUAUCUGGCAGAAAUUAUUAAGCAGCCUUUAUCUGCCAGAUAGCCACUUUAUCGGUAACCAGUGAAACCAGACACAGGCUCUAAUGAAAGGAAAUAUUAGUUGCACGAUUAAAAGAAGUUAGUCCCAUGGGAGUAGAACCGCCAAGAGCUCCCCCAAUGAGUACCAACCAUCCCAGUUUUGGGCAGGACCCUUUGCAGCAGGACAUCCUACACUACAAUCCCUGGACUCUAACCCAAGUAAUCCGCAGCAGAGACAGACCCAGCGCAGUCAACAAAACCCGGGUCAGAGAAGCAACCCACAGCGCCGUGGCUACUAACAUCCGAACUAAAUAUUACAAUAUCUAAUCAGUCUACCUAACAGUAAGCAUGAGCGAAUAAAAAGUUUAACUUUA
RNAcentral lists this unclassified non-coding RNA (775 nucleotides) under Helicoverpa zea (corn earworm). Its description in RNAcentral is "sporozoite surface protein 2-like, transcript variant X2". Lineage: Eukaryota; Metazoa; Arthropoda; Insecta; Lepidoptera; Noctuidae. The record is from RNAcentral.